Molecule: ribosomal RNA, 460 nt
Filed under: uncultured bacterium
Lineage: Bacteria
Description: partial 16S ribosomal RNA
Rfam family: Bacterial small subunit ribosomal RNA
Source: RNAcentral
CCUACGGGUGGCAGCAGUGAGGAAUAUUGGUCAAUGGGCGUAAGCCUGAACCAGCCAAGUCGCGUGAGGGAUGAAGGUUCUAUGGAUCGUAAACCUCUUUUAUAAGGGAAUAAAGUGUGGGCCGUGUCCUAUUUUGUAUGUACCUUAUGAAUAAGGAUCGGCUAACUCCGUGCCAGCAGCCGCGGUAAUACGUAGGAGGCGAGCGUUAUCCGGAAUGACUGGGCGUAAAGGGUGCGUAGGUGGUUUGGCAAGUUAGUAGCGUAACUCCAAGGCUCAACCUUGGAACUACUACUAAAACUGUUGGACUUGAGUGCAGGAGGGGCAACCGGAAUUCCUAGUGUAGCGGUGGAAUGCGUAGAUAUUAGGAGGAACACCAGUGGCGAAGGCGGGUUGCUAGACUGUAACUGACACUGAGGCACGAAAGCGUGGGGAGCAAACAGGAUUAGAUACCCGAGUAGUC